UACUCGUUCAAAAAUGAUAUGGUACUUGUCUAAAGGCCAAUAAAAUAAUAAUUAUUGUUUAAUUAAUUCCAUAUAGCAUAGCCACUCAUAUACGAUCAUCAUCUAUAUGUAAUGAUCCUGGUGACAAUUUUAAGCUCAACUGGACCGAUGGUCCGGUGAGCUUAUACCAUGGUGCAGCGCCCGUCGUCCGUCCGUCCGUCCGUCGUUCGUCAACGUUGGCCAGAAACAUCCUUGGGGGAGGAAAACAGAUUUUGCGUUAAUGACGAUUCUGACUCCUAAGGGCCAGAGGGACGAGGUCAAAUAGGAGAAAUAGAGGUCCAAGUUCUGGUUACGAGAGAUGUGUGGGUCUGUUCUAUAAAACUUCCCUGGACAGCUACUAUGGCCGUUAUCAGAUAUACACCGAUUAUAACCAUUGGCGUUAUCAUUAUUCCUAUCGUUACUGCCCUGACCGAUGUUGUACGAUAAAUAACGGAUACACGUUCUUUAGCCGGGACUAUUCCUAUAGGACCUGCUGUUAUAGUUACGUAGACGUCACACCUUCCUACACAUCAUCUGGAAAAACAGUAAGCACCACAGGGCUGAUCGUUGGGUGCACUUUUGGAGGGACACUUUUUGCCGUGCUGGUAAUAUUUUCCUUGCUGGUUGCCCGUUGUAUGUAUCGAGACAGGAAAAGAAUCGACCCAACAUCCAUAUCAAACGGAUCAAGUCCACCUGACGAAUCUAUCGUUGCCAUGGCGGACAACCCAGAGGACGGAACCAGUUUCACUAAUACAACUUCAUCCAAGGCGGCAAACCCAGCAACCGAAGUCACUAUUACAUAAUACCUUAUAGACCUCGUCAGUGACGCUAGGGACAUCAUACGGUUGUUCCCUCCUUCUAGGACACAAUACCUCCAUGCGAAAUAGAAACUCAUGUAAUAUCCUUUACUUAUAUAUGUAAUUAUUCUCGUAUUGCAAAGGUGACCCAACUUUAACAUCUGAUGAUUUAUGUUGGGAAAAAUAUUCUGUUAUACUUAAAUCACAGGAUUUUGAAUAUGAAAAUAAGUUUCGAAUGAGAUGAUUUAUAGGUUUACAUUAACCGUCUCAACCGUGUAACCAUUGAAAUCAGAUAUCACAAGACAUAACUUCAAUAUGUAGAAAACCCACAUCCUAUUUCCUGUAAUUUUUCAGCCAACUGAAAUGCCAAUUUGCUUCCUUCCAAGACAUAUGAAGAACGUAUUUGCUUCUUUAAACAAAAAUACAAACACAAUUCUCGAGAUGAAUUUAAGUUUAGCCAUCAGCUUGUCACCUAUCAUUUAUCGACGCAAUUUCUUUCUAUUUGAGCUAUAUAUAAAUGCUUACUAAAAGAUCCUUGUGUAUGCAAAUGUCUAUAGACAACAGCAACAACAAUAUUGAAUCAUGCGUCAGCGCCCAAAAUACCCCAAAGUGUCUGACAAAGAUAAGUGUCAAUUCUGAAAAUUAAUUGUUUAACCGUUGUUAAUUGUUUGUGGGAUUGUGAUGUUUUAUUGACAGAACAGCUAAUCAGUGGAUGUGAUACUGAAAAAAAACCGCAAAAUGCAAGAGCGUUUCAAUUAUUUUUGUUCACAUUCACUAAUGUACAUGUAGUACAUCAAUUUAACUUUUGAUGAUGUUUCCUGUCUUCACUUUUGCAUCUAUUGUUAAUUUUGUAUUUGUCCUUUGACACUUAUAUGCAUUCACAAUGACAUCAAUGUAUUGAUAUUAAAAUCGACCACAUGUUU
Molecule: RNA transcript, 1738 nt
Organism: Pecten maximus
Lineage: Eukaryota; Metazoa; Mollusca; Bivalvia; Pectinida; Pectinidae
Exons: 4
Source: RefSeq, a predicted model, not a curated record